This 422-nucleotide ribosomal RNA is filed under the name uncultured bacterium. Its description in RNAcentral is "bacterial SSU rRNA". It matches the Rfam family "Bacterial small subunit ribosomal RNA", at positions 355 to 774 of the family's 1533-position model. The record is from RNAcentral.
UAAGGAAUAUUGGUCAAUGGACGCAAGUCUGAACCAGCCAUGCCGCGUGAAGGAUUAAGGCCCUCUGGGUUGUAAACUUCUUUUAUAGGGGAAGAAAUGUGACGGUUCUCCGUCACUUGACGGUACCCUGGGAAUAAGCACCGGCUAACUCCGUGCCAGCAGCCGCGGUGAUACGGAGGGUGCAAGCGUUAUCCGGAUUCACUGGGUUUAAAGGGUGCGUAGGUGGGCAGAUAAGUCAGUGGUGAAAUCUUCCGGCUUAACCGGGAAACUGCCGUUGAUACUAUUUGUCUUGAAUAUUGCGGAGGUAAGCGGAAUAUGUCAUGUAGCGGUGAAAUGCUUAGAUAUGACAUAGAACACCAAUUGCGAAGGCAGCUUACUACACAAUCAUUGACACUGAGGCACGAAAGCGUGGGUAGCGAACA